UCCUGUUCCUAAGUACUAGUGCCGCAGGAGUGAUUAGGCUGCGUGAGACAUUACCGUAUCUCCUGCUGCUCAAGUGCUUAUCAACGGGU
Molecule: microRNA precursor, 89 nt
Filed under: Atta cephalotes
Lineage: Eukaryota; Metazoa; Arthropoda; Insecta; Hymenoptera; Formicidae
Also listed under: 1 other name
Description: mir-252 microRNA precursor family
Rfam family: mir-252 microRNA precursor family
Source: Rfam by way of RNAcentral